AAAUUGAAGAGUUUGAUCAUGGCUCAGAUUGAACGCUGGCGGCAGGCCUAACACAUGCAAGUCGAGCGGCAGCGGGAAA
RNAcentral lists this ribosomal RNA (79 nucleotides) under Aeromonas hydrophila. RNAcentral describes it as "partial 16S ribosomal RNA". It matches the Rfam family "Bacterial small subunit ribosomal RNA", at positions 1 to 79 of the family's 1533-position model. RNAcentral also lists the same sequence under 9 other names. Lineage: Bacteria; Pseudomonadati; Pseudomonadota; Gammaproteobacteria; Aeromonadales; Aeromonadaceae. The record is from RNAcentral.